Molecule: ribosomal RNA, 253 nt
Filed under: uncultured bacterium
Lineage: Bacteria
Description: partial 16S ribosomal RNA
Rfam family: Bacterial small subunit ribosomal RNA
Source: RNAcentral
UACGUAGGUGGCGAGCGUUGUCCGGAUUUACUGGGCGUAAAGGGCGUGCAGGCGGUUUGUUAAGUGCCUUGUGAAAUCCCACAGCUCACCUGUGGAACUGCUUGGCAUACUGGCGAUCUUGAGCCACUUAGGGGCAACCGGAACAAACGGUGGAGCGGUGAAAUGCGUAGAUAUCGAGAGGAACACCUGCGGCGAAGGCGGGUUGCUGGGCUGAUACUGACGCUGAGGCGCGAAAGCCAGGGGAGCGAACGGG